Molecule: long non-coding RNA, 2064 nt
Organism: Oncorhynchus tshawytscha (Chinook salmon)
Lineage: Eukaryota; Metazoa; Chordata; Actinopteri; Salmoniformes; Salmonidae
Source: Ensembl
AAUGAAUUGUCCCACCCUCUCCUUUUCUGCUCCUCUUUCUAGAAUUAUCAUUCAGUUUGUUGGUUUGCACCAGCACAUCUUGGCCAAAACCAUCAUUAAUAUUCACACUUGAGUUGAGCGCUCGCCUGGGCAAGCGCUUAUCUUGCCCACAGCUUGCCGGUCAUUAAGCAGAUUGAGCAGAAAGGAGAGGAGCAGAGAGCGGUGUCCGGGUCAUUGACUUGAUCAUCUCUCCCCCUGUGUGUGAGCACUCUUCACAUCUGCCCCCCCCCCCGACAGGUCUUGAUCAUCAGGCCUGGGUGGUUGUGGCUCCACAAGUGAACACUUCUCUGCCGUUAGGUGUGAUGACUGGCAUAAGGUGUCAGCGAGAGCUUUGCUGUUGGCAGCCAUUAUCUCUCCCCUGGGUGUCUGUGGUUUUGCCUGAGUAGCAGAGUCAGUCAGAGAGUUACACGAUUAGCUCCCAUUGUGCAGCACUGGUCAUAUUCAACAGAGGAAUGAAUAGUUAAUGUGAGAACAGCCAAGCUUCACAGAUGGCCACUCAGGGAGGCAGCAGGCUGGAGACUAAGCUGUCUGGGGCCUUUGGCGGACUCUCUCUCUCCACCAGAAGCCCGUGCCAUAUUGUGACCUUCAGCCAGAGCAGACUGAAUCAUCGACAGUGGGAACAGAUUGAGUGAGCAGAUGAGCCGUAUGUAGCCGGGCAGAGGGCAGGCCUGCGGAAUAGUACUCAAAUACCCCUGUGCCAAUCUGUACAACUGGCAUCAAAUGGACUGUUUCGCACCCAGGCCUUUAACCCCCUAAGGUUGAUGUCUGCGCCCCCAUGAAAAUCUAAUUAGUAUAAUACAAAAAAAUCACAAUAAAAAUCUGUCAGUUUAAGCUAGAGAUAUGUUUUGUUGCGUUGGACGUGUCUCAAUCCACCAUAUCCGCCUAUGUCGCACUUCCGCAUCUCCAGUGAAAGAUAACAGAUCUAGUGGUGUUUGUCAGUCCAUGAGACAUCACUACAAAUCUGUCUUCUCACAAAACCGUCUAUAGCAUCUGAACGCUUUGACCUACAAACAUGGUGUUCUCCGUUUUGCUCCACAAGUGUCAGGAGCCUCGUCUGAAGUCGGUAUAGCUGAUCUGCCAACUUCUGUCUGUAGCGUCCGAACCGUUUGGGCUACACACUAAAAUGACCCCUCUCUGCAAAGGUGAGACUCUCACAAACAUUUGCUCUAGGACGCCCACAGGCCUCACAAGACUCAACUGAAACACCUGUCCCCCGGGACCAGUUGAAAAUAUGAAUGGAAGUACAGUACCAGUCAAAAGUUUGGACCUACCUACUCAUUCUAGGGUUUUUCUUUAUUUUUACUAUUUUUUUUUUUUUGCCCACCCCUGGCAUAUAUGAAGACUGUUUAAUGCCAAAAAAUAUGGGUUUCUUUCAUAUAUAGGAGAGACACUUCAGAAUAUACUUCUAUUUUAUUUGUUUUUGGGACUGUUGUUCAAUGUAGUGAAUCUGUUAUUCAAUGUGUUUGUAUGGGCUAAUAGCAGUAAGACCCCAAAAAAUGUUUCAUCAAUGUGUUUUUUUGAUACUCCAAGGGGUCUUAAAAUUCUAAAUGAAAUCGCUAAAUGAUCCUUGGUAUGACAAUGGCCAUGUUCUGUUAUAAUCUCCACCCGGCAUAGCCAGAAGAGGACUGGCCACCCCUCAUAGGCUGGUUCCUCUCUAGGUUUUGGCCUUUCUAGGGAGUUUUUCCUAGCCACCGUGCUUCUACACCUGAAUUGUUUUAGGCUUGGUUUCUGUACAUCACUUUGACAUCAGCUGAUGUAAGACAGGCUUUAUAAAUACAUUUGAUUGAUUGGUUAUGACCUUCUUAAAAUUCCAUAUAGCUUAGUAACCCCCCAACCCAAUUGAACAAUUAUGGGAGAUUCUGGAGCAGUGCUUGAGACAGCGUUCUCUACCACCAUCAACAAAACAACAAAUGAUGGAAUUUCUCGUGGAAGAAUGGUGUUGCUUGCAUCCCUCCAAUAGAGUUCCAGACACUUGUAGAUUCUAUACCAAGACGCAUGGAAGCUGUUCUGAUGGCUUGUGGUGAC